AUGGCGGACCUGGUGUUCUGGAAAAACCUCCCAUAUGAUAUCACGAGGAAGAUCAGUGAAUCCUUCCUCGCAACGGACGAUAUCGACCACUAUGUCGCCUUCCGGGCUGUCUGCGGCAACUGGCGCAGAGCCACAGACUCCACCGCGGAUGCCACAGAUCCCAGAUUCAUGCCCAGCAAGUGGAUCAUGCUGGAGCACUCCAUCCACGACAAUGACCGGGUGACCUUCUUCAAUCUUAGCACAGGCCGCCGCCUCCGCAAGAAAAUCCCCACGGAGGUCCGCAACCGAAGGUACUUUUUCGUCGGCGUCACGAAAGGCGGACUCUUCGUGCUAGGGCAGAGAGCGCAGCCAUACCAAACUCGGGUGCUCAACCCUUUCACGGGCGCCAUGGCACGCUUCAAGGUGCAUAUACCCAUGGAACAGGUGAGCUCUGUCGUCGUGACAACGUCUCCAAUGAUGGUGUUCAUCUCAAACCUGCUAAACGAUUGUGUGAGCUGGGCUGAUCAGACAAGCGAGGAAUGGCACACCGCUUUUGGUUUUGGAGAAGGGGAGUGCAGGACUGGGGAUUGGGGCUUUGGCGAUGGUCACAAGAACUUGACAUCCUUUGCGGGCAGCAUGUACAUCACAAAUAAGUAUGGAUCCAUCAUAUCAACAAUCACUGACGUGUACAAGGAAGGUAACCAAUGGAAACGCUCCGCGGGGACAAUCUCCAUGUUCACCACCAUUGUCGGCCCAAAUUUUGAGCUAGCCCAUGGGAGCAAUAACUUCUAUCUCGUUGAAUCUGAGGGGGAGCUUCUUCUGGUGAUGGAUGGGCGCAUUUGUAAUGGCAUGCCGGUGGUCUACAAGGUGGACACCGUGAACAAGGUGCUCGUGCCGGUCAGAAGCAUAGGUAGCCGCGCGCUGUUUGUCAGCUCGCGCAGGUGCCUCUCCAUCGACACCACGAAGUCCAACAAGUUCCACUCCAUCGAAUCUGGCACAAUCUACUACGCGGAUCGCUCCGUGGUUAGAGCUUAUGAUCAAGGGAGUCUCGCUGGCAGUGGAUGGGAAGAGGAGCCCAAGUAUGUAUUUGAAUCUGCAACAAAUCCUUUCUCUAAAAUGGCUGAGCUGUUGGUGAAUUACUGCACUACUAUCGAGUACUCCGAACUGCAGAUGCUGCCGCCUUACGGUGAGGAGGGCUACACUUACUAUGAGUAUGGCGACCCAUCAGACUAA
RNAcentral lists this ribosomal RNA (1212 nucleotides) under Triticum aestivum (bread wheat). RNAcentral describes it as "partial small subunit ribosomal RNA". Lineage: Eukaryota; Viridiplantae; Streptophyta; Magnoliopsida; Poales; Poaceae. The record is from RNAcentral.